GGCGCCUUCGUCUAGGGGUUAGGACGCGGCUCUCUCACGGCUGAAACACGGGUUCGAUUCCCGUAGGCGCUA
Molecule: transfer RNA, 72 nt
Filed under: Prevotellaceae bacterium
Lineage: Bacteria; Pseudomonadati; Bacteroidota; Bacteroidia; Bacteroidales; Prevotellaceae
Description: tRNA-Glu
Rfam family: tRNA
About the family: Transfer RNA (tRNA) molecules are approximately 80 nucleotides in length.
Source: RNAcentral